RNAcentral lists this ribosomal RNA (420 nucleotides) under uncultured Pirellula sp. RNAcentral's name for it is "bacterial SSU rRNA". It matches the Rfam family "Bacterial small subunit ribosomal RNA", at positions 355 to 774 of the family's 1533-position model. The record is from RNAcentral. Lineage: Bacteria; Pseudomonadati; Planctomycetota; Planctomycetia; Pirellulales; Pirellulaceae.
UCGAGAAUCUUCGGCAAUGGGCGCAAGCCUGACCGAGCGACGCCGCGUGCGGGAUGAAGGCCUUCGGGUUGUAAACCGCUGUCGUAGGGGAGGAAGGUCUGGUGUAUAGCCAGGCUUGACCGAUCCUAGGAGGAAGGGCCGGCUAAUCUCGUGCCAGCAGCCGCGGUAAUACGAGAGGCCCAAACGUUAUUCGGAUUUACUGGGCUUAAAGAGUUCGUAGGCGGCGCAGAAAGUGGGGUGUGAAAGCCCUCGGCUCAACCGAGGAAUUGCGCUCCAAACUACUGUGCUCGAGGGACCUAGAGGUGAGCAGAACUGAUGGUGGAGCGGUGAAAUGCGUUGAUAUCAUCAGGAAUACCGGAGGCGAAGGCGGCUCACUGGGGGUCUUCUGACGCUGAGGAACGAAAGCCAGGGGAGCGAACG